UUGAUCCUGGCUCAAAGCGAACGCUGGCGGCAUGCUUAACACAUGCAAGUCGCACGAAGGUUUCGGCCUUAGUGGCGGACGGGUGAGUAACGCGUAGGAAUCUAUCCACGGGUGGGGGAUAACUUCGGGAAACUGAAGCUAAUACCGCAUGAUACCUGAGGGUCAAAGGCGCAAGUCGCCUGUGGAGGAGCCUGCGUUUGAUUAGCUUGUUGGUGGGGUAAUGGCCUACCAAGGCGAUGAUCGAUAGCUGGUUUGAGAGGAUGAUCAGCCACACUGGGACUGAGACACGGCCCAGACUCCUGCGGGAGGCAGCAGUGGGGAAUAUUGGACAAUGGGGGCAACCCUGAUCCAGCAAUGCCGCGUGUGUGAAGAAGGUUUUCGGAUUGUAAAGCACUUUCGGCGGGGACGAUGAUGACGGUACCCGCAGAAGAAGCCCCGGCUAACUUCGUGCCAGCAGCCGCGGUAAUACGAAGGGGGCUAGCGUUGCUCGGAAUGACUGGGCGUAAAGGGCGUGUAGGCGGUUUGUACAGUCAGAUGUGAAAUCCCCGGGCUUAACCUGGGAGCUGCAUUUGAUACGUGCAAACUGGAGUGUGAGAGAGGGUUGUGGAAUUCCCAGUGUAGAGGUGAAAUUCGUAGAUAUUGGGAAGAACACCGGUGGCGAAGGCGGCAACCUGGCUCAUAACUGACGCUGAGGCGCGAAAGCGUGGGGAGCAAACAGGAUUAGAUACCCUGGUAGUCCACGCUGUAAACGAUGUGUGCCAGAU
RNAcentral lists this ribosomal RNA (764 nucleotides) under uncultured Acetobacter sp. RNAcentral's name for it is "bacterial SSU rRNA". It matches the Rfam family "Bacterial small subunit ribosomal RNA", at positions 13 to 821 of the family's 1533-position model. Lineage: Bacteria; Pseudomonadati; Pseudomonadota; Alphaproteobacteria; Acetobacterales; Acetobacteraceae. The record is from RNAcentral.